Molecule: long non-coding RNA, 810 nt
Organism: Lagopus muta (rock ptarmigan)
Lineage: Eukaryota; Metazoa; Chordata; Aves; Galliformes; Phasianidae
Exons: 4
Source: RefSeq, a predicted model, not a curated record
UUCUUCCCCGGGAACUGGAACCGAACCCCCGCUAACGCGACCCGUCCUCCGGGAACGGGACAGCCGUGACCACCGGACGGGACCCCCCCUCCCCCAGCACAUGCGGGACCCCACCACCCAGACACGGGACCCUCACGUUUCAGAGGAGCGAUGCUUCAGGGAUGCCAGGCUCACCCCCAGCUCUGCUUGUUGCCUCGUGCCGCCGUGCAGCCGUGGCCUCGCAGCAGGGAAGAGGCAGAGCAGCUCCUAAUGAGGCUCUGGGAGCACUCUGAGCCUCUUGGCUCGUGAGCAGAGAGCCGCAGGUGGGAGCCCCAGCCCUGUGGACCGUGGCAGCAUCGGCGCUAAAACGCAGCCAAGCUUCCAGAAGCUUCUCUCAAAGAACGCUGCUGCUUAUCUCUGUGUGUUCCUGGUACGUGCUCGGUUCUUUCCCCAUCCCCAUCCCAUCCCCACCCCACAAACGGCCAUGCCAGCGCUCAUGCAUUUUUCAGCAGCAAUGUUCCCUGCAUCCCUGGGGCUGCGGGGACGGCGCUGCCCAUCCCGCUCUGGAGAAGGCAUCUCAUGGGCUGACGAACCUGAGAUUGACCCUCAUGUUUCACCAUUCUCAGAUGGCGGCACCUUGGGAGCAUCAGAGAGCUUCUGCAAGGCUUGCCCAAAAUCUCUCACCCAAAAUCUGCAGAGAUGCCCUGCAAGAUUUGCACCAGCUCCAGCUCCAUCCCUGCGCCCGCUGCGCCCGCGCCGCUUUUAUGGCCCUCCCUGUCCUCGUGGCUCGGUGGAGUCAAGCCGGGCUACAGCGAAUUGCCACACUUUCUG